This 2904-nucleotide ribosomal RNA is filed under the name Escherichia coli. RNAcentral describes it as "23S ribosomal RNA". It matches the Rfam family "Bacterial large subunit ribosomal RNA". Lineage: Bacteria; Pseudomonadati; Pseudomonadota; Gammaproteobacteria; Enterobacterales; Enterobacteriaceae. The record is from RNAcentral.
GGUUAAGCGACUAAGCGUACACGGUGGAUGCCCUGGCAGUCAGAGGCGAUGAAGGACGUGCUAAUCUGCGAUAAGCGUCGGUAAGGUGAUAUGAACCGUUAUAACCGGCGAUUUCCGAAUGGGGAAACCCAGUGUGUUUCGACACACUAUCAUUAACUGAAUCCAUAGGUUAAUGAGGCGAACCGGGGGAACUGAAACAUCUAAGUACCCCGAGGAAAAGAAAUCAACCGAGAUUCCCCCAGUAGCGGCGAGCGAACGGGGAGGAGCCCAGAGCCUGAAUCAGUGUGUGUGUUAGUGGAAGCGUCUGGAAAGGCGCGCGAUACAGGGUGACAGCCCCGUACACAAAAAUGCACAUGCUGUGAGCUCGAUGAGUAGGGCGGGACACGUGGUAUCCUGUCUGAAUAUGGGGGGACCAUCCUCCAAGGCUAAAUACUCCUGACUGACCGAUAGUGAACCAGUACCGUGAGGGAAAGGCGAAAAGAACCCCGGCGAGGGGAGUGAAAAAGAACCUGAAACCGUGUACGUACAAGCAGUGGGAGCACGCUUAGGCGUGUGACUGCGUACCUUUUGUAUAAUGGGUCAGCGACUUAUAUUCUGUAGCAAGGUUAACCGAAUAGGGGAGCCGAAGGGAAACCGAGUCUUAACUGGGCGUUAAGUUGCAGGGUAUAGACCCGAAACCCGGUGAUCUAGCCAUGGGCAGGUUGAAGGUUGGGUAACACUAACUGGAGGACCGAACCGACUAAUGUUGAAAAAUUAGCGGAUGACUUGUGGCUGGGGGUGAAAGGCCAAUCAAACCGGGAGAUAGCUGGUUCUCCCCGAAAGCUAUUUAGGUAGCGCCUCGUGAAUUCAUCUCCGGGGGUAGAGCACUGUUUCGGCAAGGGGGUCAUCCCGACUUACCAACCCGAUGCAAACUGCGAAUACCGGAGAAUGUUAUCACGGGAGACACACGGCGGGUGCUAACGUCCGUCGUGAAGAGGGAAACAACCCAGACCGCCAGCUAAGGUCCCAAAGUCAUGGUUAAGUGGGAAACGAUGUGGGAAGGCCCAGACAGCCAGGAUGUUGGCUUAGAAGCAGCCAUCAUUUAAAGAAAGCGUAAUAGCUCACUGGUCGAGUCGGCCUGCGCGGAAGAUGUAACGGGGCUAAACCAUGCACCGAAGCUGCGGCAGCGACGCUUAUGCGUUGUUGGGUAGGGGAGCGUUCUGUAAGCCUGUGAAGGUGUGCUGUGAGGCAUGCUGGAGGUAUCAGAAGUGCGAAUGCUGACAUAAGUAACGAUAAAGCGGGUGAAAAGCCCGCUCGCCGGAAGACCAAGGGUUCCUGUCCAACGUUAAUCGGGGCAGGGUGAGUCGACCCCUAAGGCGAGGCCGAAAGGCGUAGUCGAUGGGAAACAGGUUAAUAUUCCUGUACUUGGUGUUACUGCGAAGGGGGGACGGAGAAGGCUAUGUUGGCCGGGCGACGGUUGUCCCGGUUUAAGCGUGUAGGCUGGUUUUCCAGGCAAAUCCGGAAAAUCAAGGCUGAGGCGUGAUGACGAGGCACUACGGUGCUGAAGCAACAAAUGCCCUGCUUCCAGGAAAAGCCUCUAAGCAUCAGGUAACAUCAAAUCGUACCCCAAACCGACACAGGUGGUCAGGUAGAGAAUACCAAGGCGCUUGAGAGAACUCGGGUGAAGGAACUAGGCAAAAUGGUGCCGUAACUUCGGGAGAAGGCACGCUGAUAUGUAGGUGAAGUCCCUCGCGGAUGGAGCUGAAAUCAGUCGAAGAUACCAGCUGGCUGCAACUGUUUAUUAAAAACACAGCACUGUGCAAACACGAAAGUGGACGUAUACGGUGUGACGCCUGCCCGGUGCCGGAAGGUUAAUUGAUGGGGUCAGCGCAAGCGAAGCUCUUGAUCGAAGCCCCGGUAAACGGCGGCCGUAACUAUAACGGUCCUAAGGUAGCGAAAUUCCUUGUCGGGUAAGUUCCGACCUGCACGAAUGGCGUAAUGAUGGCCAGGCUGUCUCCACCCGAGACUCAGUGAAAUUGAACUCGCUGUGAAGAUGCAGUGUACCCGCGGCAAGACGGAAAGACCCCGUGAACCUUUACUAUAGCUUGACACUGAACAUUGAGCCUUGAUGUGUAGGAUAGGUGGGAGGCUUUGAAGUGUGGACGCCAGUCUGCAUGGAGCCGACCUUGAAAUACCACCCUUUAAUGUUUGAUGUUCUAACGUUGACCCGUAAUCCGGGUUGCGGACAGUGUCUGGUGGGUAGUUUGACUGGGGCGGUCUCCUCCUAAAGAGUAACGGAGGAGCACGAAGGUUGGCUAAUCCUGGUCGGACAUCAGGAGGUUAGUGCAAUGGCAUAAGCCAGCUUGACUGCGAGCGUGACGGCGCGAGCAGGUGCGAAAGCAGGUCAUAGUGAUCCGGUGGUUCUGAAUGGAAGGGCCAUCGCUCAACGGAUAAAAGGUACUCCGGGGAUAACAGGCUGAUACCGCCCAAGAGUUCAUAUCGACGGCGGUGUUUGGCACCUCGAUGUCGGCUCAUCACAUCCUGGGGCUGAAGUAGGUCCCAAGGGUAUGGCUGUUCGCCAUUUAAAGUGGUACGCGAGCUGGGUUUAGAACGUCGUGAGACAGUUCGGUCCCUAUCUGCCGUGGGCGCUGGAGAACUGAGGGGGGCUGCUCCUAGUACGAGAGGACCGGAGUGGACGCAUCACUGGUGUUCGGGUUGUCAUGCCAAUGGCACUGCCCGGUAGCUAAAUGCGGAAGAGAUAAGUGCUGAAAGCAUCUAAGCACGAAACUUGCCCCGAGAUGAGUUCUCCCUGACUCCUUGAGAGUCCUGAAGGAACGUUGAAGACGACGACGUUGAUAGGCCGGGUGUGUAAGCGCAGCGAUGCGUUGAGCUAACCGGUACUAAUGAACCGUGAGGCUUAACCUU